GGAAGACACAAGGCAGUGAAGGCGUGAAGGAAGGAGCAGUAGAAUUAGAAUUAUCAGAAGGAGCAAUAAUCUCUGUAUUGUUCUUGAUUGCUAGGCUUGUUUUUCCUCCAAGCAAUAGCUUCUUCUUUAAUUUGGUGUUCCAAUAAUUUUUCACAUCAUUAUCGGUUCUUCCUGGUAGGUGAGAGGCUAUGAGAGACCAUCUGCUUCCCAUUUGACUAUAGAGAGCGAAUAUGAUUUUAUCUUCCUCUUCAGUAAAACCUCCAUGUUUGAUGUCUGGC
Molecule: unclassified non-coding RNA, 278 nt
Filed under: Hevea brasiliensis (rubber tree)
Lineage: Eukaryota; Viridiplantae; Streptophyta; Magnoliopsida; Malpighiales; Euphorbiaceae
Source: RNAcentral